UGCGGUAUCCUGACCGUGCUAAGGUAGCAUAAUCAUUUGCCUUUUAAUUGGAGGCUUGUAUGAACGGACACACGAGAGCUCAUCUUUUUUCUGUGAGACAUAAAAAUUAUCCUUCAAGUGAAGAGACUUGAAUAGUAUAAAAAGACGAAAAGACCCUGUGGAGCUUUACUUAAAUUAUUAGUAAACAAAAUAAAAAAAUCCUUUUUCUAUAAAGAAAGUUUGGUUGGGGCGACUGAGGAGCACACACUAACCUCCUCCAAAGGAAAGACAUUAAAUCUCCAAAAAAUCCACACAAGUGAAUAAAAAUCAAGCUACCCCAGGGAUAACAGGCUAAUCCUCCUCGAGAGCUCAAAUUGACAGGAGGGCUUGGCACCUCGAUGUUGGCUUAAGGUCCCUUCUAAGUGCAGCAGCUUAGACAGUGGGUUUGUUCAACCUUUAAAACCUUACGUGAUCUGAGUUCAGA
RNAcentral lists this ribosomal RNA (463 nucleotides) under Spionidae sp. 1 LMG-2016. Its description in RNAcentral is "partial 16S ribosomal RNA". It matches the Rfam family "Bacterial large subunit ribosomal RNA", at positions 1932 to 2615 of the family's 2925-position model. Lineage: Eukaryota; Metazoa; Annelida; Polychaeta; Spionida; Spionidae. The record is from RNAcentral.